GGCCACUCUAACACAAUGUUGGUGUGUCUAUUAAAAAGGGGCGGAUACAGCCAUUUUCAAAAAGGGGGUUCCAAACCCAGGAUAAAGGGAGUGGGGGUUCUAACUAUAUGUCUCCAUUCAAAUGCAUUGAUUGGCUAAAAAAUGGGUUUUCAACCACCGGCCACCCUCACCCCUUGGAUCCGCAACUGAUUAAAAGGUCAACUGCAAGUAAAAUUUGAUUUCAACAAAAGGUAUCUUAAUUUCUUUGCUUUAUAAAAAUAUAAAUUAACCUUUGUCAGCUGUAACUACCAUCUAUACAAUAGUGUCCUCUUCAAAGUGAC
RNAcentral lists this long non-coding RNA (320 nucleotides) under Mytilus galloprovincialis (Mediterranean mussel). The record is from RNAcentral. Lineage: Eukaryota; Metazoa; Mollusca; Bivalvia; Mytilida; Mytilidae.